RNAcentral lists this ribosomal RNA (1378 nucleotides) under metagenome. RNAcentral's name for it is "bacterial LSU rRNA". It matches the Rfam family "Bacterial large subunit ribosomal RNA", at positions 1536 to 2925 of the family's 2925-position model. The record is from RNAcentral.
AAAAAUCCGCUGUAACGUUAAUGCUGAGGCGUGAUGGGGAAGGCCCUUGAGGCUGAAGUACAUGAUUCCAUGCUUCCAAGAAAAGCAUCUAGAGAGAGAAGUAGUGCCCGUACCGCAAACCGACACAGGUAGAUGAGGAGAGAAUCCUAAGGCCGGCGGAAGAAUUGCAGUUAAGGAACUAGGCAAAUUGACCCCGUAAGUUAGCGAGAAGGGGUGCCUGCGAGAGCAGGCCGCAGAGAAUAGGCCCAAGCAACUGUUAGCAAAAACACAGGUCUCUGCUAAAGCGCAAGCUGAUGUAUAGGGGCUGACGCCUGCCCGGUGCUGGAAGGUUAAGGGGAACACUUAGCGCAAGCGAAGGUGUGAACUUAAGCCCCAGUAAACGGCGGCCGUAACGAUAACGGUCCUAAGGUAGCGAAAUUCCUUGUCAGGUAAGUUCUGACCCGCACGAAUGGCGUAAUGACUUGGGCACUGUCUCAACUGCAAAUCCGGCGAAGUUGUAGUGCGAGUGAAGAUGCUCGCUACCCGCGAUUGGACGGAAAGACCCCGUAGAGCUUUACUGUAGCUUAGCAUUGAAUUCCGGUAUUGUCUGUACAGGAUAGGCGGGAGACUGGGAAACUAGGGCGUCAGCCUUAGUGGAGUCGUCCUUGGGAUACCACCCUGACAGUACUGGGGUUCUAACAGGACGCCAUGAAUCUGGUGACUGGACAUUGUUAGGUGGGCAGUUUGACUGGGGCGGUCGCCUCCUAAAAAGUAACGGAGGCGCCCAAAGGUUCCCUCAGAGCGGUCGGAAAUCGUUCGUAGAGUGCAAAGGCAGAAGGGAGCCUGACUGCGAGACCUACAAGUCGAGCAGGGACGAAGGUCGGGCUUAGUGAUCCGAUGGUACCUCGUGGGAGGGCCAUCGCUCAACGGAUAAAAGCUACCUCGGGGAUAACAGGCUGAUCUCCCCCAAGAGUCCACAUCGUCGGGGAGGUUUGGCACCUCGAUGUCGGCUCGUCGCAUCCUGGGGCUGUAGUAGGUCCCAAGGGUUGGGCUGUUCGCCCAUUAAAGCGGCACGCGAGCUGGGUUCAGAACGUCGUGAGACAGUUCGGUCCCUAUCCGUCGCGGGCGUAGGAAAUUUGAGAGGAGCUGUCCUUAGUACGAGAGGACCGGGAUGGACUGACCUCUGGUGCACCAGUUGUUCUGCCAAGAGCAUGGCUGGGUAGCUAAGUCGGGAAGGGAUAAACGCUGAAAGCAUCUAAGCGUGAAGCCUCCCUCAAGAUGAGAUUUCCCAUAGCAUAAGCUAGUAAGACCCCUUGAAGAACACGAGGUUGAUAGGUCAGAGGUGUAAGUGUGGUAACAUAUUUAGCUGACUGAUACUAAUAGGUCGAGGGCUUGACCG